Molecule: ribosomal RNA, 527 nt
Filed under: uncultured bacterium
Lineage: Bacteria
Description: bacterial SSU rRNA
Rfam family: Bacterial small subunit ribosomal RNA
Source: RNAcentral
AAUAGAUACCCCGGGUAGUCCACGCCGUAAACGAUGAGUGCUAAGUGUUAGAGGGUUUCCGCCCUUUAGUGCUGCAGCUAACGCAUUAAGCACUCCGCCUGGGGAGUACGGCCGCAAGGCUGAAACUCAAAGGAAUUGACGGGGGGCCCGCACAAGCGGUGGAGCAUGUGGUUUAAUUCGAAGCAACGCGAAGAACCUUACCAGGUCUUGACAUCCUCUGACAACCCUAGAGAUAGGGCUUUCCCCUUCGGGGGACAGAGUGACAGGUGGUGCAUGGUUGUCGUCAGCUCGUGUCGUGAGAUGUUGGGUUAAGUCCCGCAACGAGCGCAACCCUUGAUCUUAGUUGCCAGCAUUCAGUUGGGCACUCUAAGGUGACUGCCGGUGACAAACCGGAGGAAGGUGGGGAUGACGUACUAAUCAUCAUGCCCCUUAUGACCUGGGCUACACACGUGCUACAAUGGAGUGUAACAAAGGGCUGCAAACCUGCGAAGUAAGCGAAUCCAUAAGCCAUUCUCAGUUCGGAUUGC